CAACCGCUCCGAACAAUCGCGCAGUAUCAUACCGAAAGGUCAUAUUGUGAGGAAAGUCCGAGCUCCGCAGAGCAGGAUAACGGAUAACGUCCGCCGAAGGUGACUUUAGGGCCAGUGCAACAGAAAUAAACCGCCGUAGCGAUACGGUAAGGAUGGAAAGGCGAGGUAAGAGCUCACCGGCACACAGGCGACUGUGUGGCCAUGUAAACCCUAUCCGGAGCAACACCGCAUACGGGAGCAUAUGCUUGCUCGGCAGCUCCCAGAGGUGGCAAAGAGGUCCAUGGCAACAUGUACCCAAGAUAGAUGAUUGUUGUAAACAGAACUCGGCUUACGGGGGCGGUUGGCGC
RNAcentral lists this RNase P RNA (347 nucleotides) under Clostridiales bacterium. RNAcentral describes it as "RNase P RNA component class A". It matches the Rfam family "Bacterial RNase P class A". From Rfam's summary of the family: Ribonuclease P (RNase P) is a ubiquitous endoribonuclease, found in archaea, bacteria and eukarya as well as chloroplasts and mitochondria. Its best characterised activity is the generation of mature 5'-ends of tRNAs by cleaving the 5'-leader elements of precursor-tRNAs. Cellular RNase Ps are ribonucleoproteins. The record is from RNAcentral. RNAcentral also lists the same sequence under 1 other name. Lineage: Bacteria; Bacillati; Bacillota; Clostridia; Eubacteriales.